Long non-coding RNA from Polypterus senegalus (gray bichir), 279 nucleotides. RefSeq lists it as uncharacterized. NCBI's taxonomy places the organism in Eukaryota, Metazoa, Chordata, Cladistia, Polypteriformes, Polypteridae. The transcript has 3 exons. The record is from RefSeq and is a predicted model, not a curated record.
AAUGCCUGACACUUUCAAGAAGAGUGAGUGCAUCAGACAAUGUCAGCCAUUCUUUCCUUCAUGUUUUCACAGGGUGGAUAACACUAAGAACCAUCCAUUGACAAGAGAAUAUGAAGCCACAUCCCAACAGGAAACAGAUUGUUAAUUCCUAACCUGACCACAUUCAACCACUGAAAAAGCCACGAAAUCUUAAACUCUAGUCUGAUUACUGAGGAACUAGAAGACAAAAGCUCCAAAGGAGAAGAAGCAAAGACAAAAGAAAAAUAACACAAAAUAACU